This 427-nucleotide ribosomal RNA is filed under the name uncultured bacterium. RNAcentral describes it as "partial 16S ribosomal RNA". It matches the Rfam family "Bacterial small subunit ribosomal RNA", at positions 355 to 774 of the family's 1533-position model. The record is from RNAcentral.
UGGGGAAUAUUGGACAAUGGGCGAAAGCCUGAUCCAGCCAUGCCGCGUGUGUGAAGAAGGUCUUCGGAUUGUAAAGCACUUUAAGUUGGGAGGAAGGGCAGUAAGCUAAUACCUUGCUGUUUUGACGUUACCGACAGAAUAAGCACCGGCUAACUCUGUGCCAGCAGCCGCGGUAAUACAGAGGGUGCAAGCGUUAAUCGGAAUUACUGGGCGUAAAGCGCGCGUAGGUGGUUUGUUAAGUUGGAUGUGAAAGCCCCGGGAUCAACCUGGGAACUGCAUCCAAAACUGGCAAGCUAGAGUACGGAAGAGGGUGGUGGAAUUUCCUGUGUAGCGGUGAAAUGCGUAGAUAUAGGAAGGAACACCAGUGGCGAAGGCGACCACCUGGACUGAUACUGACACUGAGGUGCGAAAGCGUGGGGAGCAAACA